ACGGGCGUUAUCAUGCUGCAACUCGUGGUUACGGCGACGUGCCAAAUAAGCUGAGAUGCAGUGUACAGUUGAUCAUCAUUCAGUCCACUCCUUGACUUCAUAAUGAGAUGCAAAUUUUCCAAAGUAAUCGCUUCAUCACCAUUCUCUUCCAAGUAAUCAAUGGCAAUCUCAAAUGCUGUCAUCUUGGACAUACUCUUCGGUCGACCAAGCUUCCGUUUCUUCGGUGGAGCUUCCCCAUGUUCAAUAUAAGUUGUAGGUAUACUGGUCCCUCUCCGAAAAUUCUUAUCACAUGCAUGGUGAUAGAUAGCUUCUUCAGCAGGUAGAUCGUGUAUUGGCACAACACGUGACUGUACCAUCUUGGCCCAAUCAUCCUGCCUCUUGACACAGUAUGCUGCAAUAGUUUCCUGGAACUCAAGAGCCAUCACACGGCUGAAUUGAAGUACACUUCUAUCUAGAUGUUUGUAUGCAGCAUCCUGGUCAAUAUAAGUACCACAUAGAAAACAGUGAGUUUUAAAAUUGAAGGCUUUUACAUAUGAUCGAAGAGUUUUCUGAGCUAUAUGUGAUGCUCCACAUUUUUUAGCUGCUUUGAUUGCCUUUGGAUUUAUAUGCUUACUUCGACACUGUUUGUGUACCAACAGGCUAGAGUUCUCAUUGUAUAUGGUGUCUGGUGCAUCUUAUUUGCGCAGUCUGUUUGCAUUGCCACAGCAGCCUUUUUCUGUCAACUUCACAGGUCCAGGUUGACCGGUUCCAUACAUAGCACACAAGUAGCCAUCUGUGAUCUACGUUCGACACCUUCAGAUGAGAACAGUCAACUGCAAAUAGUAACAGUUGCUAGAAAUAUGGUUGACAUGUGUACAGAUACAAAUGAAUACAGAUUCAAAGAUUUAAAGUGAUAACUUAUUUCUCUCAUACAGGAUGCAUUUUUCAUAAAUAAUUACUUUGUCCAUUGUAGCAAAUGAUUUGUGCGCUAAAUGUCUUGAUUAUCUUCAAAAUCGACUUUUAAUCAAAGUUCAUACCAUUUGAGAAUAAUAACUGCUCACCGGAGUUGGGAUUAUCUCCCUUCAUUUGCCUUGAAACCAAUGAGGAUGUUAAUGGCCCUGUUACAAAUUUUAUAUUCAUAUUUGUUUAUAUUUUCAUCAGUUAUUCCCCUCUAGAGCCAAUUAACUAUAUGUUUUUGAAGUUUUGAAGUUUAGUUAUAAGAGAAAAAUAGCUUAUACACACCUUUAUGUUCUUGAGGUCCAUCUUCAAACCAUCGUCGGCUCGUCCGCCAUUUUGAAGAGGGGAAGACUUCAUUUUUUCAAUUGGUUUUUUUUUUUUUCAAACUUGAUUAUUUAUGUGAACACAAUAAACUGUAUGAUUUUAUAUGUAAAACACCAACAUUAUGAUGAAACUUUAUUUUCUGCAAGACUUACUUUUAUUAACAAAUUUAUGCAUUUUUUGUCAUUUCGAGGCAUUUAUAUUUAAUUUUUAUGAGAAUUUUCCUUUCAAAAUUGUGAAACAUACACUCCUUUGCAUUUACCAAGUCAAACUAAUAUAGAAAGUCUCAUCAUAAAUGUUUUUACUGUUAUUGGUUCCAUGUUAAUGUCUAUCAUGUCUAUUGUUACCUUUGUUUUGGCGGCCAUCUUGGAUUUGACCUAUUUUCGGAUGGUUCCCCAUGUCCGAUUUUGGUAAACUAUUUUUUUUUUUUAAUGUAUAGGUGUCAAGGCACCAAAAUCCAGCAAUAAACCUUUUCCGUCAA
RNAcentral lists this long non-coding RNA (1738 nucleotides) under Haliotis rufescens (red abalone). Its description in RNAcentral is "uncharacterized LOC124116051". Lineage: Eukaryota; Metazoa; Mollusca; Gastropoda; Lepetellida; Haliotidae. The record is from RNAcentral.